This 85-nucleotide non-coding RNA is filed under the name unclassified sequences. The record is from RNAcentral.
CUUUACUUGCCGCCGGGUAAGUGUUCAGGCAUUGAUUUCGUAUCGUUAGGCCAUAGAAGAUACGAACAUCAAUGCUUUUCUUUGC